AUGAAACUAAUCGGUUGGAACUGCCGGGGUUUGGGAAAUGGCCCGGCAGUUCAUAGCCUCCUCGAACUGGGGAGGGAGGAGGAGCCCGAUGUUCUUUUUCUUGCGGAGACGAAGAUGUCCGAGAAGGAGUUGGAGAGGUUUAGGUGGAUGCUAGGGGUGGCGCACAUGACAGCGUGGGGCUCGAAAGGGAGGAGUAGGGGGGUACAAUUGUUCUGGAGAAGGGAAGUGGAUGUGUCGCUGAGGUCGUACGGCAUGAGGCAUGUAGACGUGGACGUGCUGGAGGAGGAUGGUGCUACGUCUUGA
This 303-nucleotide ribosomal RNA is filed under the name Triticum aestivum (bread wheat). RNAcentral describes it as "partial small subunit ribosomal RNA". Lineage: Eukaryota; Viridiplantae; Streptophyta; Magnoliopsida; Poales; Poaceae. The record is from RNAcentral.